AAACACUCUGGAGAGUCUCCGAAAAAGGAGCGCCGAAGGUGUAAGACGGGUGCAGGUCCAUGGCACCGGUUGAUCUCUCAGGCAAAAGGACAGGGCA
This 97-nucleotide non-coding RNA is filed under the name uncultured Clostridium sp. RNAcentral describes it as "Glycine riboswitch". It matches the Rfam family "Glycine riboswitch aptamer", at positions 9 to 86 of the family's 94-position model. Rfam says of the family: This family represents the bacterial glycine riboswitch. Glycine riboswitches usually consist of two metabolite-binding aptamers domains with similar structures in tandem. The aptamers cooperatively bind glycine to regulate the expression of downstream genes. Lineage: Bacteria; Bacillati; Bacillota; Clostridia; Eubacteriales; Clostridiaceae. The record is from RNAcentral.